CUUAAUAGAACUAAUGUUGCUGAACAGUCGAGUCGGUCAUACUUUUGUUCUUGUGUGUAUAUAUAUGUGUAAAUUUUUUUUUUUACAAUUAUGAAACCUUGAGUAAUGAAUCAUCACUCAAAUGCUUUCUCUUGAAUUAUACUUUUAUAUUUAUUCUUCUCUUGAUAUGUAUAACUUUUGACAAACAUAUUAGUCUCUUUUUUUAUCGACUGCGAUAGGAAAUUUAGAAUUUGAUUGAAUUUUUCUUACCAACUCAGCUCCUAAUUGUCAUUUGUCACAAUAAUAUACCUGGUAGAUAUUAUUGCAUUUGUUCUCAACUUGAAUAUUAUUGAAAAUAUCUUAAUCCCAUCUGCAGUGCAUGUCUAUGACUAUUAUGCUAUCAAAGCAUCACAUUGUGCUAGAGAAAUAAUAAGCCGAUAUAUCUAUGUAGACUGUGUUUGGUACCUGAUGGAUCUCUAGUUAGGAAGGUGUAAUGUCUUGUUCAAUGACACAACCCAAUGGAAACAUCAGGCUUUCCAUAGAACAUUGAUUUGCUAUGAAGUUGAUGGAUUUCUUGCAUGCUUUCGAUUCUUGCUUCAAGUUCUGAAUUGAGAUUUGCUUUAUCAUUUUUCCCGAUUUUCUAAAUUUGGCAAUCUUAGCCCUAUCGGAGUUGGGGGAAUAAUGUUUGGCCAAGCUUAUAAGUAGCCUUUCUCAAACGUACGUCUCUUAAGAUUUGAUCUCAAGGACCUCUCAAUCAACGGUUGUGUCCCCUAACCGUUGAAACGACCCCUUAUAUUUUAUUUUUUCAUGUUGUGUUAUUCAUUUGAGAUUUUCAUAUUUUUAGCAGGUGUUCUGUCAUUUGGUGUGCCUGAGAAGAUUAUGGCUUCUAAACUUGGAGCAUACCAGUUCCAGUAUUAUGUACUCAGGUUGCAUGUCAUUUGGAGGCAGCUGUUCUCAGUAUGGUGGUCAAAGUGCCAUUUUAUUUUAUUUUUUUGAAUUUUUAGCACGCAAUUUAUUAUUCGACUCUGUAAAUACACUGGAUUAUGUAAAUUGCGUUGCAAUUGUAGAUUGUUGACCUUCUCAAGUUGCACGCUUUUGAUUAUUCCUUGUAUUGAUGAUACUACCUUUUAUAAAAGUGAUGUAGUAUGCAGUAGAACAAUUAUAGAACGGAAAAAAAGGGGGAGAUGAAGAGAAGAGAGGGGGACAAGAAGAUAAGAAUAAUUCCAAGGAGAAAUCAAUUUCUUUCAUUAUCAAAGGUUUAAUAAUAAUAAUCGUCUUACGUGGUAUAUGCGUAACAGUAUGUUAUUUGAUGUAUAAAUCUUAUGUAUCAAAUAACAAAUUGUCAUAUAUACAUCACGUAAAGCGUCGUUACUUCAAUUAAAAAGAUUUCAGGGUUUUAACUUUCAAGGAUCUUAUUCUAAAUAGGAAAUAUGUAAUAAAGUGAUUAUAUUAAAUGUCUUAAUUAUGAUUCUAAAGAUAAGCAUCAAAAUUGAAAAUGAAAUAUAGUACGGUUGGUUUUGUUUUCACACAGAUUAAGAAAUUUUAUUUAAUAUUAUUGAAAAAAUAAUUUUUUAAAAAAACUUUCCUAGUUUAUCUUUAUGUAUAUUUGUAUAAUUUCAAGAUUAAGUGAGGAAAAUUGAUUAAAACUAGGCAAAUUAAAUAAGAGUAUAUUAGUAAAGUAACAAAACAUAACAUUUUCAAAUAAGAAAUAUGAUUAUAUAAUUUGGAUAAGGAAAUAAGGAAAGUCAGUUUAUAUAAAUAGGAAAUAUCUCUUUUAAUACUCCAUCAAAUAGUUUCUAAGUAUGACCUUUAUCAAGAUUUUCAAAUGUAAAAAGCGACUCGAUUGGAGAACACACAAUAGAUAAAAUUUUAGCACUUGUUUAUAAUUAGUGGGUUUUAAAGAAUGUGUAGAUAGUAAAUUUUGGGAUUCUACACCAUCUUAAAAUAUUAAAAUUAAUUGUUGCUGUAAUAUUACUCAGAGCUUGUUUGGGCCAUACAUUUUCAACAAAAUAUAUUUUGGAAUAUUACUUUGAUGAAGAAUGUAUUAUUAAAAUAUAAUGAAAAGUUUUGGAUUUACGUACAAUAUUAUUUUAUUGAAAAAUAUGUUGUUGAACAUAAAUGAGAGAAAAAUAUAUUUUAAAAAUAAUGGGGACCAAACAGGGCUCAAUGUGUUUGUUGUAAGUCUACACCUGUUUGACAACUAUUAUUUUUAAACUUUUUCUUAAGAACUCAUUUUCAACCACAAAUUUACACAAUAAAAUAUUAUGUAUGUAAGCUCAAUUUUUUUUUGAUCAUAUAUCCUGCUAAAUAACACUAUUCAAAAAUUUGUUUUCCACAAUUAGCCCUUGUUUGAGCUACAUUAUAUUUCUAAAAAUGCAUUUUUGAAUAGUAUAUUGUGGGAAUGAGUUGUUAAAAAAUAAAGAAAAAUUUUGAAUUUGUGUGUAAUAUUAUUUUAUUGAAGAAUGUGUUAUUAAAAUGACGUUAAAUCAUUAUUUAAAAAUGUAUUUUUGUUUCUGACAAAAAAAAAGUGGCUGAAACUCAAUCUGGAUCUUUUGGACAAAUUUUCCAAGUAAAUUGCAAUAGUUAUAGAAAGUUAGGAACUUAGGAUUUUGAGAUUUAGAUUCUUGGGUAGAAGACUACGAGUCAAGUCCAGAAGAGAAUGGCCAUUGAUUUGAGAAGCAGCACUGCAACAGCUUAGGAGAUAGAUUUUGUGGAAUAAGAAUUCAAAAUUGUUCUUCGUCUGAUUGUUUGUUAAUGCAUUUUGGCAUGUUCCUCAUAAAAAAUCUGGGCCAUGAAAAGUUUUUUGGUCAUGGCUGACCUGGUUGACUUAUAGCAUGAAACUUUCUUUGGUAGUAAGUUGAAGGUGUUCUAGUGUUAUGGUUCUGCUCUAAAUAUUGAAUACAUAUUCUGCACUCCAUACCUUUCAAGUUAUUUAUCGUGUUGACAGCUGUACUGUAUGCAAGUCAUUUUAUUUGGAUUUUGUCAUAGUUUAUUUUUUAUAUCCGUUAACAGUGUAUGAUGUAACAUUUUCAUUGUAGUUAUAUGUAUCAAUAUUAUUUAUUGCCGAUAUCACAGUGUAUGAAUGCUUAGCUACCAUGUAUUGGGAUCAUACAUUAGCAAAUUAUGACUCAUGAAUAAAAGUGCACUCUAAGAUUCAGUACAUAUUUUAGGAAAUGUGAUAAAUAACCCUUCUACACGUAAAUAGACAAAAUCUAUUGAUCAAUGAUUUACAUGAAGCAAAAAGUAUGCCCUGGCUAUUUUACCAUGGAGCCUAAACACUAAGAUGUUUGUUGUCAUGGGAAAGGAAUGUUAGUUUGAAUACGUAUUAAACCUUAAAAUUACUUCAAGUCCCUACUGGUUACUUGAAAGAAUGAAAAAUGACAAACCAAGUUAGUUAUAUAAAAAUAUAGGCCAAAAUUCAAUUGUAUGGUUUCUAAAUGCUGAGAAAAUAAGACAAUAUAUUCAAAAUCUUAAAUAUCAACCACACCACCACUAUAUCUAGUUGUAGGUUGUGAGAGAGGAGAUUUUUUGUCAGAAAAAUGGUUUGGAAAAGAGAAGUGUUAGACCCCCAAGGCAAGUUCCUUAAGAAAUACAAAAAGCAUUGAGCUGUGCAAAGCUCAUUGAGGCACCAACAUUGCAUAAGGCCUAACCGCAAAGAUCAAAGCAAUGUGUCCAUAAGUUGUGCAAAGAGUAUAUAAUAAUAUAAAUGAAUUAUCUCCAUCUUUACAUAUUACAGAUGAUGAAAAGAAACAAAAAUUGCUUCUUAAAUGUAUAUUGGUUCAAAAGCCUAAAAGAUAUAUGCUCUUCAGCGCUAAAAGUGCACACAAUGCAACUUCCGUGAAUGCGAUGUGCCUAGAUGUGCUAAAAAAUAUAUGAUAAUUUGAAAGAGGGCUGCACACAGCUUUUCACAGUCCUGAUAUUAUUAUAGUUUUAUAGAUUGUAACGAUGCAUAUUAUAGUUCUCUCGAUUUGACUUAAAUUUUUGUAAAAAGUAAAUGCUAAGAGUUUUUAACGCUCUGUAGCGUUUUAGAUUUUUAAUUAUUGUUUUUCUUUUUGAGCUUGCACUCCCUUGAGACCUAUGUUUUGAGUAUACAGUUUUGAUUCCUUUUGCAAUUUCAUGAAGUAAUUUCCUUGAAAGAACAUUGAUCUCAGGGUUCUUCCCCUUUCACUGGUAGUUGACUGAUUGGCUGAAUAUCACGUGUUGCAUUUAUAUUGGGAACCUGAGCUGGAUUUGUGUUAUUCAUUUUAUUUGGGCCACAUCUUUUGCGUCUUUAUUAUCCUUCACCUGAGUAAAAUUUUCCAUUUAAAAUGUGCAAGCUAUUUAGCCUGUGGUUUUUAGUAAAUUUUGAUAAAAGUUGUUGAAAUAUGUGGUUGAGAAGUUGAUAAUAGUUGUGGGUCCCUUGGAAUGUGUGGUUGAAAAUGAGUUUGGCAAAAAAAUGAGUUUUGAGAAAUGGGGGUGAAUAAUUAAUGAAAGUUCUGUAUGUUGUCUGAUGAGUCAGACUGUAAUGUAAUUUUUUCUGUUAAUUUUAACUUUAUUGGAAACAUGAAUAAGCAUUGCUAAUUUUCUAUAAAGCCAAAAACAGGUAGUUUUCAUUACCUUCAAAGUCCCACACUGAAGAUUGUUUUGUUUCUCUUGGUGAAGAAUUUCACUCUUCUGGCAUUCUGCUUUUUCUUAAUCAAUAUGAUCAGUAAAUGCAUUUUUGGCUUCAGUCUGAACUUUCCACUUUGUUCUCUGUCAAAAAUCUGACUGAACAUUUUGGUUUGUCUGAAUUUUAGGUGAUAUUCAUGGGCAAUAUGGAGAUCUUUUACGGCUUUUUGAAUAUGGGGGAUUCCCUCCCGAGGCCAAUUAUUUGUUCUUAGGAGAUUAUGUGGACCGUGGAAAAUAUAGUUUAGAAACAAUAUGCCUUCUUCUUGCCUACAAAAUCAAAUAUCCAGAAAAUUUCUUUCUUUUAAGAGGAAAUCAUGAAUGUGCUUCUAUUAAUAGGAUAUAUGGAUUUUAUGAUGAAUGUAAACGGCGCUUCAAUGUGAGACUCUGGAAAGUCUUUACUGAUUGUUUCAACUGCCUCCCAGUAGCUGCUCUCAUUGAUGAUAAAAUACUUUGUAUGCAUGGUGGUCUUUCUCCUGAUCUACUUCACUUGGAUCAAAUAAGGAAUUUGCCACGUCCAACUGAUGUUCCUGACUCUGGUUUGCUUUGCGAUUUACUUUGGGCGGAUCCUAGUAGAGAAGUUAAAGGUUGGGGGAUGAACGAUAGAGGGGUCUCGUACACUUUUGGUCCAGAUAAGGUAGCUGAGUUUCUGAUGCAGCAUGAUAUGGAUCUUGUAUGUCGUGCUCAUCAGGUAUUGACAUUUUCUCUUGAUUUCUUUGAUCCUUGUUUCAGCGUUUGGAUUUCUGCUGUUGAUUGGUAUUUUGCUGUGCAGGUCGUGGAAGAUGGAUAUGAAUUUUUUGCUGAUAGACAGCUAGUUACAAUAUUUUCUGCUCCCAACUAUUGUGGUGAAUUUGAUAAUGCUGGGGCAAUGAUGAGUGUUGAUGAAAGUUUGAUGUGUUCAUUUCAGAUCCUGAGGCCAAAUGAUGGAAGGCGGUUUUUGUGAAGUAAAAUUUGAUUAAAGUGGUCUUAGUUCUCUGAGAAUGCUCAAGGUCUGUAACCUUGUCUUUGAUGAUGUUGCUGGAAUAUGUUUAUCUUCUGGAUAUUGUUCGAGUGCUUUGUCAACUUUCCUCAUGGUUGACUGAGUAGUAUAAUUAACAAAGAGGAUUAACAAUUAACAGAGCUUUAUUUAAAAAAAAAGAGAGAGAGAGAGAGAGAGAGAGAGAGAGAGAGAGAGAGAGAGAGAGAGAGAGAGAGAGAAUAAAGACACAGUUUAAUCUUUAAUCAGUCUUCAAGUAUUUUAGGUAAACCACCACGAAGUUAAAAAUGAUUGGCUUUUACACACUGAACCAUUUUAAUGGAUCCAUAUUUGUAUCUUGAUUCAGAUUGUUUCUCCCCUAUCAAAUUGCAAGUUUGAUUCUCAUAAAAUGGUGUGGUGACAUAAUCUGUGUUUCCUGCUUGAAAAAAUAGGCUUUUGGGGCAUGCCAUCUUCGAAUUUAUGGGGAAAGAAGGUGACACAUUGUGCACGUCUGCCUAGACCCUUGAUGAUAUUGUCUGUAAUUUAGGUUUUGGAAGUCUGAAUGAAAACCUUUUUUGGCUUCAAUUUGAAUUGAUGUUUAUCAAACAUUUUACAUAUAUUUGAAUGUUUGAAUGUAAAGCCUUAAAUUGUGUGGCAGUAGGUUGCGCUUGAUAAACUUGAACACUCUCAUCUCUUCUUGGUUACGAAUUCUAUUUCCCCUUUUUGGGUAACUUGGUGUUCUUUGGAAAUAUUUUCUGAUUCUUUGUCUGCUUAGCCAGGAUUCUAUCAUGACAUCAAUUUUCAAGUGAGCUAAAAUUGUCUACUGUAGUAUCAUUAAAAUUGAGCCCCUGUUUGGGCCAUAUUUUCAAGGAAGAAAGUAGAAAAAUUUUGACCAUUAUUUUCAAAUGCGGGUCCAACCUAAGAGAGAUGAAGUCAAAUAUGGUGGCUGAAAUUGGUCUCCAAUGGACGGAAUUCUCAUUUUUUUGUGGCUUAAAAUAUGGCUCAAACGGGGCUUAAUAGAACUAAUGUUGCUGAACAGUCGAGUCGGUCAUACUUUUGUUCUUGUGUGUAUAUAUAUGUGUAAAUUUUUUUUUUUACAAUUAUGAAACCUUGAGUAAUGAAUCACUCAAAUGCUUUCUCUUUAAUUAUACUUUUAUAUUUAUUCUUCUCUUGAUAUGUAUAACUUUUGACAAACAUAUUAGUCUCUUUUUUUAUCGACUGCGAUAGGAAAUUUAGAAUUUGAUUGAAUUUUUCUUACCAACUCAGCUCCUAAUUGUCAUUUGUCACAAUAAUAUACCUGGUAGAUAUUAUUGCAUUUGUUCUCAACUUGAAUAUUAUUGAAAAUAUCUUAAUCCCAUCUGCAGUGCAUGUCUAUGACUAUUAUGCUAUCAAAGCAUCACAUUGUGCUAGAGAAAUAAUAAGCCGAU
This 7005-nucleotide long non-coding RNA is filed under the name Olea europaea (common olive). RNAcentral's name for it is "long non-coding RNA (OEUR_LNC014131)". Lineage: Eukaryota; Viridiplantae; Streptophyta; Magnoliopsida; Lamiales; Oleaceae. The record is from RNAcentral.